AGAAAAAAAUAGGGAGAAAAGAAUGAAGAAAAAAAAAAAAAGUGAAAAAGACAGGAAGAAUCCAUGCAUAGAAUUUUCAUAUUUUAUUCUUUAUGCCUCGAAACGAUUUGCAGGAUAGACGUUAGAGGUCUGGCGAAACAUCAACGAUCUUAUCUUAGAUUUGAUAUCGUUAUCCGAUAAAUUACUACGGAAUGCAGCUAAUAAAAAUCCUGCAUAUUUAACUAUGCACCUAAUGGAAAAACUCUGAGGAAGAAUAUUAUCCAAAUGACUUUAUCGAUAGAAUAUUUGAAUGAUUUCCGUAGGAUUGUAGAAUCACGACAGCUUAAUAAGCUUUCCCAUUCAUGGAAAUGGAGUAACGUAAGAGAUACAGACAGACGUAACAGGAGCAUAGAAGGGAAUACGAGAUGGUGUAUCGUUUAUCGAAAAGGAAUUGGUAUAUAUCAAGAGACUACCGUAAGGAGGAGAAGGAUUGAGAACUGAAAUAGGACGGAUGGAUAAUGCGAGUUAGUUCGCUACCCUCUACCAAGAUGCUAGUCACACAUUUCUACCUAUCUCUGACUCUCCUCGUCUUUAUAAUUAUUAUGAUAGUUCGUGGAAAGCAAAUGAACGUCACACGAAACAACUCGUAGUGACCAUUCCCAUUCAUUCAUUCAUUGAAUUCUUGGCUAUGGAUAGAGGAGAACUGUUUCUUGAGAAAAGAAAACCUUACUCGAUUCAUCGAGAAUUGUGAAAUGAAUUAGAUAUUCCGGUACAGAGAGAGAAAGAGAGUGGAUUCUAUUCUAUAUCCAUCUUGGCGACGCAUAGUUAUCUCGGAACGAGUCUAACACGAAAUAAGAAUAACAAGAGAUCGUUUUAAAUAAGAUAACUCGAGUCGUUUAUAAUUUUUGGCUCGUUCGAGGAAAUCGUCAUACUCGACGAUGUCUUUUUCCUCCUUUUGAUAAAAAGGAAGGAAGCAACCCUAACUCGAUAUCAUCUACCGACUUAUCUGGAAUUAUUCCAAAUCUACAAUUUUGACGAUUAAGCAAAUAUCCGUAUCACCUAGCUUAGUACUCUGAGUGUAAUAAUAAAUCAUCUUAGUUAUCGAAUAGGAACGUAUUUUUAUCCAAAUGAAAAAAAGGAACCAACAAAUAAAGCGUACUCAAAUAACCCCUUAAAAGUCUAAACAACACAUAGACACCGGGUAAUCGAUAAAAGUGCAUAAACAUUUUGACUCUCGUUGGGAUCUCUCGAUGGAAAUAUUUCACCGAUACCCCCUAGAGUUCUCACGUUUCUCGAGAUUUCUCAGUGAUCUUUGUCGAAACGAAAAGCUUUGAAUACUUUUCCAAAGAUUCGGCAUACACAUUGUUCGGUUUCCGUGUGCCGUCUUGAAUAGUAACGUUCACGGCAUGGAAAUAGAGUAGCAUUUUUAGAACUCUAAUCGCGACGCGUCCUCGUUCGAAAAAUACUUUGUCGAUCAACGGGCCGAAACUUUCAAUGUUUUCGAGAUUAAAAUCGAGAAAAGGAGGGAGGGGGAAGGAAUCGUCGUUUAAUUAAUUAAACAUCUUACAUGAAUUAAUCGUAAUAAGAACAAAGAUGAUAUUCCGAUUUUCUCUCGUCGUAAUUAUAAGAUUUUCAAGAAGAAGAGAGAGAUAGAGAAGGAUACCGAACAAAAGAUGGAAAUAAUUGGAAACGUCGGCGUCGAGGAAAGAAGAAAAAAGAAAAAGAAAAAAAAACAGAAAAAGAAAAUGAAAAAUAGAGGUAUGGUAGGCGGGAAAAAGGGGAUCGGGCAAAAGCGGAGUCACGUUUUCCCGAGCGAUAUGCGAUGCAUGAGGCCUGAAACGUGAGUGCACAACCGGCAAAGGUGCAACCACCGAGAAGGACGAUGAUCCUCGAGGGUUCUCGCGUCAGAUGGAUCAUGGCUAGCCAAAGCAGGAGGUGGUUGAGAGGCACGAGCUAGAGACAUCGAGUAGGGGGCCCCAGUAGCCAGCAACCGCUGGACAGCAACGUGCCGCUCAUGGUAAACAGCUACGUGCUCUCUCUCCUAGAAAGACCUACAUAGAACGGAACGCACCACCAUCCUGCUGAUCCUGUGCCCAACGAACGAAUCCCAACCUUCUCUCUCUCUCUCUCUCUCUCUCUCUCUCUAUCUCUCUCUCUUUCUUUCUUCCUUUCUUUCUUUCUUUCUUUCUUUCUUUCUUUACCUAUCUGGCUUAUCGUGAUAGUCUAUUUUACGAGAGAAACGUUACUUUGAUAUUAAAGAAAUGCUGGUGUUGGGAGAAAGAGAGAGAGAGAGGGGGAGUGAAAUGGGUUUAAAAAGGAAAUAAUAUAAAAAUAAAAAAAAAAGAUAGUUUGUAUAAAAAAAUGUCGAUAUUCCAGAAAAAUACGUGUUUAUAU
Molecule: long non-coding RNA, 2373 nt
Filed under: Polistes canadensis
Lineage: Eukaryota; Metazoa; Arthropoda; Insecta; Hymenoptera; Vespidae
Description: uncharacterized LOC106789728
Source: RNAcentral